CAGCAGCCGCGGUAAUACGAAGGGUGCAAGCGUUAAUCGGAAUUACUGGGCGUAAAGCGUGCGUAGGCGGUGAGUUAAGUCUGCUGUGAAAUCCCCGGGCUCAACCUGGGAAUGGCAGUGGAUACUGGCUCGCUAGAGUGUGUCAGAGGAUGGUGGAAUUCCCGGUGUAGCGGUGAAAUACGUAGAGAUCGGGAGGAACAUCAGUGGCGAAGGCGGCCAUCUGGGACAACACUGACGCUGAGGCACGAAAGCGUGGGGAGCAAACAGGAUUAGAUACCCGCGUAGUCCCUGUCUCUUAUAC
RNAcentral lists this ribosomal RNA (301 nucleotides) under uncultured bacterium. Its description in RNAcentral is "partial 16S ribosomal RNA". It matches the Rfam family "Bacterial small subunit ribosomal RNA", at positions 509 to 807 of the family's 1533-position model. The record is from RNAcentral.